Molecule: long non-coding RNA, 267 nt
Organism: Pieris napi
Lineage: Eukaryota; Metazoa; Arthropoda; Insecta; Lepidoptera; Pieridae
Exons: 2
Source: RefSeq, a predicted model, not a curated record
UGAAGUAUAUCGCAAAUAGUACUUAACAUCCGCGAAAGGAUAUUUCUUUAAGACCUUACUUCAUAGGAUCAUUUCUAUAGUAAGCUCUUCACGCAACUUCUCACAAUACGUGGGAAAUUUCCAGCCAUGAUGAGGAGACGUGGCGCGGUAUCCUGAGCGUGAGGCGGGCAGUGACGUAUGUCAUUAGCCCUCGAUGAUCGUUCACUUUUCUGCUUGCGGAAAAGCGUGGGGUACUGUCGCUGUCUGAGUGGUUUUUUUAAAUAUAUA